UGUUCUGUGGAUUAGUUGCCUAAAGCGUCGGACUAGCAAUACGGAGUCGUGCGUUCGAAUCACACCAAAACAA
Molecule: non-coding RNA, 73 nt
Organism: Aedes albopictus (Asian tiger mosquito)
Lineage: Eukaryota; Metazoa; Arthropoda; Insecta; Diptera; Culicidae
Source: Rfam